AUCAUCAACGGAGGAGGUGCCAUCAGUUUCCCUUUCACCCCACAGAUGCAGUGUCAGACUUCAUCAGGACUUGAAACGUCUCGCUCAGCCUCAUCCUCGUCAGAAUACACAUCAGUCUUCACUGCCCAUUCCUCCCUCAACAUCUUCAUCAUCUUGUCAUCGUAUUCUCCCACCCACUCACUGUCAACUCCUCCCUCGACGUACAGAUGAAUUGAUCUUCUUUUAGAUGCUAGCUGCACCAUUCCCUUCACUUGCUCAUCACUCUUGAUCUCUGUGAGCAAGUUGCAGUAUUCACCAGGUCUCUCGUACCACAUUCUCUUUAGACGAAAACCAAAGCCUUUAAUGUCAGCAAUGUCACUGAAUCAGGAGUGACAUUUUUGUUUUCCCUCUUUAUUC
This 396-nucleotide long non-coding RNA is filed under the name Eucalyptus grandis. RNAcentral's name for it is "long non-coding RNA (EGRA_LNC001879)". The record is from RNAcentral. Lineage: Eukaryota; Viridiplantae; Streptophyta; Magnoliopsida; Myrtales; Myrtaceae.